ACGAGUUCCAACGAGAUCAAGUACCUUGUAUAUUAAGAAAAAUUCGAUGGACAGACAUUCGAAUGUAUAUUUUCUCUAAACAAAAUUUACUUACUAGAUGAAAAGGGAAGAGGAACAAAGCUAACGUGAAUUAUACGCGAGACUCUUCGGGAGAGAUAGUACGGCUGCAGUCGGGAGAAUCGUACUUUUUUAGCAAAAAUCCGAACAGACAGUAUUUUGCUUAAUUUCUCGUAAGGAGACUUCUACGAGAGAAACGUGGUCACAUGUUUAAACUCCUUGGAAUUCUCUCACGAAGUAAUCCCGAGUACGUCGCACGAUAAGGCCGAGCGGAAGAAUAUACGAUGGCAUAAAGUAAGCGAGACCGGCCAAAGCCUCGCGCGGAAGAUUCAUUUAAGGCUUAUGAAGAAGAGGAAAAGGAAGAAAGGAAGAAGAGAGAGAGAGAGAAGUCGUCCUCCUCGAAAAGAGAAGAUUCACCAUGCCUUCUAUAGUCUAGUCUUCUCUUUCCUCUUCUUUACUAUCGUUCUCAUCCGCUCUUCUGAACACGCCACGCCUCGGAUAAUGGAGAACCCAUCGUGAAAAAAGUAAGAGAGAGAGAGAGGGGGGGGGGGAGAGGGAGAAAGGGAGGGAGGAAGAGGCCAAAACGUGGAAAGAUAGAAGGAGAAGAAAGUUCGGUGGCGAAAACUUUGGAUAUUUUAUUCGGUGCUGAAAUAACUUUUAAUAUUCCCCUCCCAUCCUACUCCUUUCCUACAGGUUUAUAUCAAGAAAAGAUUCCAGUCGCCUCUUUUUUCCUUGAACCUCGCGGCGGGCACGACUCAACGCGACUUUUUUUAACCACAGUCUAACAUCGCGCUUCGCUGAGCUUUGUGGAGUUUUUAAUGAAGAGUUCGAGCUCUCCCGCUUAUUGGUUUUCUGCUCUGAAGGAGAAAUAUUCGACUUCGAUUUACCGCGUGGCUCUCUGUAUGCGUUUGCGUUCGUUCAACGCCUCCGCAUGUGAUUUUUAUAUGGAUUUCAAAGGAAAGACCUUUUGGGGUUUUAUUAAACGAACCACCCAGAUUC
This is a long non-coding RNA of Vespula vulgaris, 1056 nucleotides long. RefSeq lists it as uncharacterized. Lineage: Eukaryota; Metazoa; Arthropoda; Insecta; Hymenoptera; Vespidae. The transcript is spliced from 3 exons. The record is from RefSeq and is a predicted model, not a curated record.